UGGGGAAUAUUAGACAAUGGGGGCAACCCUGAUCCAGCAAUGCCGCGUGUGUGAAGAAGGUCUUCGGAUUGUAAAGCACUUUCGACGGGGACGAUGAUGACGGUACCCGUAGAAGAAGCCCCGGCUAACUUCGUGCCAGCAGCCGCGGUAAUACGAAGGGGGCUAGCGUUGCUCGGAAUGACUGGGCGUAAAGGGCGUGUAGGCGGUUUACACAGUCAGAUGUGAAAUCCCCGGGCUUAACCUGGGAGCUGCAUUUGAUACGUGUAGACUAGAGUGUGAGAGAGGGUUUGUGGAAUUCCCAGUGUAGAGGUGAAA
Molecule: ribosomal RNA, 315 nt
Filed under: uncultured bacterium
Lineage: Bacteria
Description: partial 16S ribosomal RNA
Rfam family: Bacterial small subunit ribosomal RNA
Source: RNAcentral